UGUACCAUGCUGGUAGCCAGU
RNAcentral lists this non-coding RNA (21 nucleotides) under Danio rerio (zebrafish). Lineage: Eukaryota; Metazoa; Chordata; Actinopteri; Cypriniformes; Danionidae. RNAcentral also lists the same sequence under 3 other names. The record is from miRBase by way of RNAcentral.